AACGAGAACAGAAAUCUCGUG
RNAcentral lists this small RNA (21 nucleotides) under Arabidopsis thaliana (thale cress). RNAcentral describes it as "Ath_wt_05976". Lineage: Eukaryota; Viridiplantae; Streptophyta; Magnoliopsida; Brassicales; Brassicaceae. The record is from RNAcentral.